This 246-nucleotide ribosomal RNA is filed under the name uncultured bacterium. RNAcentral's name for it is "partial 16S ribosomal RNA". It matches the Rfam family "Bacterial small subunit ribosomal RNA", at positions 87 to 334 of the family's 1533-position model. The record is from RNAcentral.
AAUGGCGACCGGCGCACGGGUGAGUAACACGUAUCCAGCCUGCCGAUAACUCUGGAAUAGCCUUUCGAAAGAAAGAUUAAUACCGGAUGGCAUACGAAUAUCGCAUGACAUUUUUAUUAAAGAAUUUCGGUUAUCGAUGGGGAUGCGUUCCAUUAGUUUGUUGGCGGGGUAACGGCCCACCAAGACAACGAUGGAUAGGGGUUCUGAGAGGAAGGUCCCCCACAUUGGAACUGAGACACGGUCCAA